UACUAACGACGAUAUGCUUUGGGGAGCUGUAAGUAAGCUUUGAUCCAGAGAUUUCCGAAUGGGGAAACCCAGCAUGAGUUAUGUCAUGUUAUCGAUAUGUGAAUACAUAGCAUAUCAGAAGGCACACCCGGAGAACUGAAACAUCUUAGUACCCGGAGGAAGAGAAAGAAAAUUCGAUUCCCUUAGUAGCGGCGAGCGAAACGGGAAGAGCCCAAACCAACAAGCUUGCUUGUUGGGGUUGUAGGACACUCUAUACGGAGUUACAAAGGACGACAUUAGACGAAUCAUCUGGAAAGAUGAAUCAAAGAAGGUAAUAAUCCUGUAGUCGAAAAUGUUGUCUCUCUUGAGUGGAUCCUGAGUACGACGGAGCACGUGAAAUUCCGUCGGAAUCUGGGAGGACCAUCUCCUAAGGCUAAAUACUCUCUAGUGACCGAUAGUGAACCAGUACCGUGAGGGAAAGGUGAAAAG
This 468-nucleotide ribosomal RNA is filed under the name Staphylococcus aureus. RNAcentral describes it as "partial 23S ribosomal RNA". It matches the Rfam family "Bacterial large subunit ribosomal RNA", at positions 60 to 521 of the family's 2925-position model. The record is from RNAcentral. Lineage: Bacteria; Bacillati; Bacillota; Bacilli; Caryophanales; Staphylococcaceae.